UUAUGUCUUGCAGAGCAUCAUUUUACAGAUCUGUCUACCCUUUUGCUGACCUGAUUGAGUGAUUUGGCAUUGAGUGUAAGAACCAUGACUACCUUCAACACACACAUAGGGGUUCCAGCUGUCUGCUUCCCACCUCCACCUAAGACUACCCUUGCCAACACUGCAUCUGAAGUGAAGUCCUCCUCCCUGCUGGCUGCUCAUAUGGACACAGCCUUUCAGAACAACAAGCACGGCUUGAUCCAAAUGUUAAAGUGGCUCCAGGCGUGGAUGCACAUAUGCCAUCGGAGAUGGUGGAGGAAGGCUUCACCUGGACAUGUUUAUUGCUGCUGAGUUUUGAAGGAAAGUCCCCAGGAGGCAAUUUCAGGUGCACACAAAAGAAAGAACAUGAUCAAGGCGGAGUCACAAGUCACACUGUCAAUGCUCUCGGUCGAGUCUCCAUCAGGGUGUCUCUGGCCUUCAGAGUAGGCUUCUCAGUCCUGCCAUGAAUCGAAUCCAACCCAUCCCCACAUGGAUUCCUCUCUAAUCACUCUCUAUCAAGACUCUAUCUUCCAGCCAAAUCUAAAUCCUCUCCAUCACAUUACUCUUCUACUUGGAAAAUCCUUCUCUGCUUAUAGUUCUACUCGCCAUUCACCUCCAUGAUGAAUGGAUUCACCUUCCUGAAUCCUCCUGACAAAAUGAAUAGCUCUCUCUUUUACACUACUGUUUCCUAUAGCCCUUUUCACAGCCAGACCUGUCUUAGACUUAACUGGGUACCCUUCUGUCUACCCCAUCUGACUGUGAGCACUUUGAAAACAGGGGCCAUCUCUUAUGUAUCUGUGCCUGGGCAUAACUCUGCCUAACACAGUGCUUUGUACGCAUCAGGGUAUCCAUUGUUACCUAUUGAAUUGAACUGAAUAAACAGUUCCUGAAUGAAAAAUAUACACAUAAUUUUAUCUGCAUAAUUAUAACUAAGCUGAUACAGGUGGGUACAAUGCAACUCUUUUUGUUUCCAAGCCCCAACUUGCUGUUGAAUCAUUUGUAGAUUUCCUGACUGAUUAUUUUUUUAUAUUGUUAGGAUUUAGUGGUAUAAAAAUAUGAUCUAACAAUUUGACUUACUGUAAAAGUAGUUCUUUAGUUUAUAAUCUGUGUAUAUUAAGGGUUGUAACUGCACUAUUCUCCCAUCUUAAGUAAGGCAAUUUCAGGGUGAGGUUUUACCUUUUGAUGUCAAGCCUUUAAACACAAAAGGAACAAUUUUAUUCCUACAGAAGCUGAUAAAAAUUACACUACAAAUGAAUCCUGUGCUGCACUUAGUUUAUGGCCCAUACUAAAAUAAAUUUUCAGUAGUCUCUGCAUAUAAAUGGAAUGAUCUGGUACAGAUGGUCAUAUUUUGCACUAAAUCUUCAACAAUAUUAACUUUUCUGCAAUGAAUAAAGUCAUCAUAAUAAUGUCAUUUCUACGUGGCAGCAGCUGAUUGAAGAGAAAUGAAAUAUUAGGGCAGUUUCAUUUACCUUGGCCCAUUUCUCUGGUGGAGGUGGUAGCAAACUAGACUUUCUCAGCUCUCCUAUUUCUGGGCAUCUUAGUGGCUUGGGGCCAUUUGAGCCAAUGGAACAUUUUCAGUCACUGACUCUCUGCCUUCGGCCUUACAGGCCAAUCCUAUGUUGUUCUUGAGCCACUUAGAUUUCAAUUUCACUAGUAUCAACCCUACGUCUAAAAUUGAUAUUUAUCUUUACAUUUUAUAGUAAAUGCUUUUUAUAUUUCAAAACAAUUACAAGUAAUUAAUUCAAAAGCAGAAUCUAAAAAAAAUUAACUAUGAAUUGAUUAAAAUAGGUCUUUAAUUUGAAACUGUGUCCCAAAGAUUUAAAAGGGUUAUUUUGCUCACUGAAUUACACCCAAAACUAAUUCCAAAUGUAUGGCAAAAUAAUCUGAAAUUUUAAUAGCUUUUAAAAUAUAAUUUAGGGACUUCCCUGGCAGUCCAGUGGUUAAGACUCCUUACUUUCAACACAGAGGGCGCAGGUUCAAUCCCUGGUCAGGGAACUAAGAUCCUGCAUGCUGUGUGGUACAGCCAAAAAAUAAAUAAAAUACAAUAUAAUUCAUAUGUUUCAAUCACAAGUCUUAGUGAUUUUAAUCAAAUGUAUCAGUCUCUAGUAAUCCAGUCUGACAUACUUAAUUCAU
RNAcentral lists this long non-coding RNA (2151 nucleotides) under Ovis aries (sheep). Its description in RNAcentral is "lncRNA (ENSOARG00000026313.1)". The record is from RNAcentral. Lineage: Eukaryota; Metazoa; Chordata; Mammalia; Artiodactyla; Bovidae.